This 498-nucleotide ribosomal RNA is filed under the name Bacillus subtilis. Its description in RNAcentral is "bacterial SSU rRNA". It matches the Rfam family "Bacterial small subunit ribosomal RNA", at positions 1 to 519 of the family's 1533-position model. Lineage: Bacteria; Bacillati; Bacillota; Bacilli; Caryophanales; Bacillaceae. The record is from RNAcentral.
ACUUUUCCCUAAUUGAUCAUGCUGUCGAGCGGAAGAUGGGAGCUUGCUCCCUGAUGUUAGCGGCGGACGGGUGAGUAACACGUGGGUAACCUGCCUGUAAGACUGGGAUAACUCCGGGAAACCGGGGCUAAUACCGGAUGGUUGUUUGAACCGCAUGGUUCAGACAUAAAAGGUGGCUUCGGCUACCACUUACAGAUGGACCCGCGGCGCAUUAGCUAGUUGGUGAGGUAACGGCUCACCAAGGCGACGAUGCGUAGCCGACCUGAGAGGGUGAUCGGCCACACUGGGACUGAGACACGGCCCAGACUCCUACGGGAGGCAGCAGUAGGGAAUCUUCCGCAAUGGACGAAAGUCUGACGGAGCAACGCCGCGUGAGUGAUGAAGGUUUUCGGAUCGUAAAGCUCUGUUGUUAGGGAAGAACAAGUGCCGUUCAAAUAGGGCGGCACCUUGACGGUACCUAACCAGAAAGCCACGGCUAACUACGUGCCAGCAGCCGCG